This 841-nucleotide ribosomal RNA is filed under the name Sphaerellopsis filum. RNAcentral describes it as "eukaryotic LSU rRNA". It matches the Rfam family "Eukaryotic large subunit ribosomal RNA", at positions 76 to 934 of the family's 3401-position model. The record is from RNAcentral. Lineage: Eukaryota; Fungi; Ascomycota; Dothideomycetes; Pleosporales; Leptosphaeriaceae.
UGCCCUAGUAACGGCGAGUGAAGCGGCAACAGCUCAAAUUUGAAAUCUGGCUCUUUCAGGGUCCGAGUUGUAAUUUGCAGAGGGCGCUUUGGUGUUGGCAGCGGUCCAAGUUCCUUGGAACAGGACGUCACAGAGGGUGAGAAUCCCGUACGUGGUCGCUAGCCUCCGCCGUGUAAAGCCCCUUCGACGAGUCGAGUUGUUUGGGAAUGCAGCUCUAAAUGGGAGGUAAAUUUCUUCUAAAGCUAAAUACUGGCCAGAGACCGAUAGCGCACAAGUAGAGUGAUCGAAAGAUGAAAAGCACUUUGGAAAGAGAGUCAAAUAGCACGUGAAAUUGUUGAAAGGGAAGCGCUUGCAGCCAGACUUGCCUGUAGUUGCUCAUCCGGGCUUUUGCCCGGUGCACUCUUCUAUAGGCAGGCCAGCAUCAGUUUGGGCGGUUGGAUAAAGGUCUCUGUCAUGUACCUCUCUUCGGGGAGGCCUUAUAGGGGAGACGACAUGCAACCAGCCUGGACUGAGGUCCGCGCAUUUGCUAGGAUGCUGGCGUAAUGGCUGUAAGCGGCCCGUCUUGAAACACGGACCAAGGAGUCUAACAUCUAUGCGAGUGUUUGGGUGUCAAGCCCGAACGCGUAAUGAAAGUGAACGGAGGUGGGAACCCCUUUGGGGCGCACCAUCGACCGAUCCUGAUGUCUUCGGAAGGAUUUGAGUAAGAGCAUGGCUGUUGGGACCCGAAAGAUGGUGAACUAUGCUUGAAUAGGGUGAAGCCAGAGGAAACUCUGGUGGAGGCUCGCAGCGGUUCUGACGUGCAAAUCGAUCGUCAAAUUUGGGCAUAGGGGCGAAAGACUAA